CAAGAAGUAGUUUAGUUAGAAUACCA
Molecule: transfer RNA, 26 nt
Filed under: Mus musculus domesticus (western European house mouse)
Lineage: Eukaryota; Metazoa; Chordata; Mammalia; Rodentia; Muridae
Description: partial transfer RNA-Pro
Source: RNAcentral